Felis catus (domestic cat) is the source of this 6156-nucleotide long non-coding RNA. RefSeq lists it as uncharacterized. The transcript is spliced from 2 exons. Lineage: Eukaryota; Metazoa; Chordata; Mammalia; Carnivora; Felidae. The record is from RefSeq and is a predicted model, not a curated record.
GGCGGUGGCGAGGACCCCGGGAGCCCUUGGCGGGCAUCUGUGGGUGUCCUCGAGUGAGGGGCUGCGGGCUCCGGCCACGCGCACGGGGACACCCGGAGAGCAGCCGUGUUCCCCGCCUCCGGACGGGACGCUGCGGUCGCCCUUGUUUAUUAUGGUGGCUGUGGGACGUGGCACCCCCUUCCCCCAUUCAGAUGAACACUACCCGGGACUGAGCCUCAGUUUCCUCGCCUGUCAAAUGGGCCUCCUCGCGCCUCCCAAACUGGGUUGUGGUAGGACAGGCUGGGAGGACGGUACGGGGUGCCCAGCACACAGCGGGGGCUCUGUCAGGACCAAGGCCAAGAUGACCCGCCCUCUGUGGCCAGCGCAGUUCCCAGCUUGCAGAUGGAGAAAUGAGUCGCGGGGUGGGGGCCCCUGAGGUCGGGCUGAGCCCCAGGGGGAUGGCACCUGCGGGGGAAUUGGAACCCAGCACCCAGCCCUGCGGCUGCAGCGACACCUGCUGGCUGACCCCAUUGCCCUGCCUUCCGGGGGCGGGGUGUUCCCUCCCAUGUGGCCCCAUCCCCCUGACCCCCAGGGGAAAGCCCUGCCCACCCCCUGCUCUCAGGGCCUGUAGGGGCCAGCAGCCUCUGUUCUCCUCGGGCAGGCGCUAUUUCUGUCUCUCGAUGGUGUCAGUGGGGAGCCUGUGGGCAGGGAGCACAGUGCGUUAUUGGGGAUUUAUGAGCCACGAUCGGGCUCCCCGGUAGCCUCUUCUUCAAAGACCCUGAGGUGGGAGCCCCACCCUGGAACCCAGAGCGGCCCCCUCUCCGCACUGAGGAGUGUGGACCUUGGGCAGAUGACUGAAUUUCUCUGAGUCUCAGUUUGCCCACCUGUCAAAUGGGAAUCAGUAUCACAGCCACUUGACUGUGGGAGGGGUGGACGAGUUAAUAUCUAUAAACACGAGGCCAGGGGCAGGCCCCCUCCUGCAGGCCAGCGCGGAAAACAGCUAACUUUCUAGAAGGACAGCCUUCUGUGUGCCCGUGGUGGCCUCGGUAGCCCGUCUGUCGGAGACAGGCUUUCGCCUCUCGGCCCCCGCUGGGUAAGUCCACAUGCCUGGCCUCGCGGCCCCGGUGCCCGGGACCAGCUGGGUGGCCACUCCCUAGCCAGACGUCUGUGUCUUCGACCUCUGGGUUCAUUCACAGGUGCCGAUGACCAUCCAGGGUGCCCCUGCUCCACUCUUUUCUGCUGGCCUCCCCUGCUCUGGUCAGCUGGUCUGCUGCCCUGGGGGGCCGUCUCCACCUCCUUGGAUGCCUGUGUGGCCCCCCCCCCCCCCCCGGGCCUCUGGAGUUUCUCAUACAUGCAUCCUGGAGGGCGGAGGCCCUGAGUCGCCAGGCGUCCCCAGUGCCCGUCACGCUGAGUGCCAUGUGGCACCCACCGGCCGUGAGAGCCAUCGGGGAAUGGCCCCCCAAGCCGGGCUGGAAGCAGAAGCCAGGCCGUCCUCGGCCCCUGUCCUGUCAUCAGCCUGCAGCCCAGCUCCCUGCAUGAAUGCCCCUUUUGUGUAUGCCCGGCCGGGCCGGCCCCUCCCCGGGAUCUGCCGGGUGGGAACUCUGGCUCCAGAACGAGGAGCCCGGCCCUGCGCCUGCUGCCCCCCUCGGCCCCCCCACCAGCGGCCCUGGGGCCCCCCGGGCAGGUCACUGCCCCGGGCUGGGUGUUGGGCGGGAAUCGUAUUCCACGGUUCAAGGUCUCUUCCUCCCUGGCGUGCACGGGCAUUUUCCUAGGCCCCUGUCUGAGGCUCCCGGAAGGUGAGGCUCAGUGGUGAGGCCCAGUGACGGAAGAGACACCGUGGAAGGGGAGUGGACAUAUCCAGUGUGACCGUAAGAGCAUAGCCCGCCCCAGACUUAGGCCCAGGCUGAGGACCCCUAAUGCUGCUUGGGGGCCGUGGCCUAGCCCCACACUUCAGAGGACCCAGCUCUGGCUUUCCUUCGCCCAUGGCCUGCCUUGAGGCCCAGAGAGUCUGUGGGGCCAAGGGAAUGAGCCCCCCCGGAGUUGGCGCCCUACGGCCCCCCCCCCCCCAACCCAGGCCACAUUCUGGAUACUGGGACCCUGUAAUUCUGUGCCCAGAUGUCUUGAGGUUGCUUCCUGGGCCUGAGGAAUCUCCUCUCCUGGUCUGCCCUCCCACAGAGGGCCGUGUGGCCGGCGUGUGCUCCCCCCGGAGCUGGAGGGCUGGCAACCGGAGGGGAAUGGACCUUGGAUGAGCACAGCGGCACCCACACACGUGUGCGUGCAGGGGCUCUCGGGGGCCAGGAUGGGCCUGUGCCAGGAAGGGGCAGUUUGGGGACAUCCCAAAUUCAAACUCUGGGCUCGGCCCGUGCUGGCCGAGACUUUGGGGGGGGCCCCGGCAGGGAUGAGCCAGGAAGGGUGGAGGAGGUGUCACGGGAGGCGAGAGGGUUAGGCUGGUCUCUUCCGGGGUCUCCCUCUGGCUUCUUGGGUGAUGCCUUGCUUGAAAUCGUGGGCAACGACGCAGACUUUUCUGGGGAGGCCGGCCAGAGCCUUCCCCGGGUUCCUGAUGGAUCAGUGGCCUGGCCAGGAGGCCACCCUGGCAGUUGUGGAGCUGGGUUCUUAGUGGGGGGUAUUUCUCAGAGCCAUUGGUGGCCACGAAGGCCGUAGGUCACUCGGUCCCGCGGUGGACGGCGACGGCCGGGGUGAUCUCCAGCCUCGGCGUCCGCACUGCCCGUAUCACAGACAAGGAGGAAGGGGGAGGGAGGCCAGCUCACUGGAGCGACAGGGAACAGGGGCCAUGUCGUCAUUAACCACAGAUGCAGCUGGGGCCAGAUGCAAAGCUUUGUGAGCUGGAGAUGCCCAGGCCCUGACCCUGGCCUCCCCACGCCGUUUGGACCCGUGCCCUGCAUCCGGAGCCCUGCUGUGUAGACUCCGGAGGAACCAGUCUGGAUCCAGUUGCUGAAGCCCGUCUCUCUUCACGCAGUUUAUCCGCCUCUGGGAAGGGCCUCGUGGGAAGGCUGUCGAGAGUGGCCCACGCCGCAGGGUGGUGCAGUUGUGGGAUCAGAGUGGCGUUAGCGGGAGACCUCACAAGAGGGGCACCCUGGCCCCCGCCGGCCCCUCUGGGCCCCCUGGCUCCCCGGCCGGGCACAUGUGGUGGUGAGGCGUGCAGGGGAGGUAGGCAGACGAGAGAAGAGAGAGGGGGAAUCAGCAGGGCCGUGGGAAUUCAGUCUGGCGGUUUGCAAAGUGGGCGGCCUGGCCCAGGGUUGGGGGGCUGCCGGGAGGCUGGUGAGCGGGGACCAGGCUGUGCCCUAAUGAGGCAUCGUGGCCGCUAACCAGGCGUGGCCUGCAGAACAGCAGCCGGGGGCCCCGGACCCCAAUCAGCUGGGUGCUGCUGUCUCCCCUUGAGCCGGCUCUCCCUCUCUGCAAUGCUAAGUGCCUCUUGGUAUGGAUUGAGCGGCCCGAAUAAAUCUCUCUGAGACCAUCUGGUCUGGAGCAUCAAAGAACAGCUGGAGAUAACUUUUUUCCCUUCUUUUUAAAACAGGGCAAAAGCACCCACACGUCUGUCUAUGAAGUGAGCGCAUGUUAGAUCCUGGAGAAUUUUCUACCCCGUUGAUUUUUUGUUUUUUUUUUUUUUUUCUUCUUAAAGGUAUAAGGGAAGGGAACUGAGAGUCUUGGUUCUGAAAGGCUGUGCCUUCUCCUGGUUGUCUUAGCAUCUGAGGCCAGGAGGGACAGGAUGCGUGGGCCAGGCUCCCACCCCUCCCUGCAGCACUCGCGUCCUCCCCGGGCCCAUUUCUGCAGCCCGGAGCUCCAGGCACACGCAUCUCUGAGCUCUCCAGGGCCCCGUCCCGCUGUCCAGCCAGGUGCAGAAGCCAGAGCGCUGGCGUUGACCUUGACUUGUCCUCCUCCCAGAGUCCCCAGACACCAGCCCUGCCUGACUUGGCCGCCCUCUGAGCUGGAAGGGAAGGAGUCCGACGGAACUGGCCGUUCUCGCUGGGGCCGAGAAGACAGCUACAAGCUGGCAGAAUCAGGACAAGAUAGAUCCACGUGCCCUCCAUUGGGCCCAGGGACUGAGACCCGGGAGGGGCACUGCCCUGCCCUUCGAGCCACUGAUAAGCUGGUCGAGUAGCAGCUGAGUGGACUCUUGUGCGUCACUCUCCCUUAAACGCUGCUGAGAUCCUCCUGGAAGUGAGGCCCCCGCCUCUGACUCCUGAGAACGAAGUCAUUUCCGUGGCAGCAUCUCAGUGCCGACGCGGGCCCUGUUCUAGCUGCCGCACCCAUGUUAACUCUGACCUCUUGAGUGGGUGCUGGCACCACGCCUGUUGAGGGGUGAGGACCCGGGGCGCAAAGAAGGGAGCUAACUUGCCAGCCUUUGAAUCCAGGUGGGCCAGCAUCCAUGCCCUAGACCACCACAUGGACAUGCCCAAGGGGACCCUCCCUGGCCCACCCCCUGCCAGCUUCCUUGCUGCCUCCCGCACGGACCUGGCAUGCGGCCUCCACCCACUCACGGGGAAGAGCCUCGCACUGGUCCGUCUGGCCACCGCUCCCCCCCUCCACACCUCCUUCGCCCCCCGCCGUGGCUUCCGCAAGAUCUCUUUGCCUGAACCCGCUGUGCUCCCGUGUGCCUCAGUGCCUUUGCACAAGUGGCUCCCUCUGUCCAGAUGUCCUUCUCAGGCAACAUGCUCCCCACCUCCCCGGUGGAGCCGGCCCCUCCUCUGCAGGACUCAUUUUGGUAUCACCUUCCUGGGGAACCUUCCCUGGCUGGUGCCACCCCGGCUGGUAUGGUCCCUCUGUUUUUCGCUCUACCCAGCCCCGUGUCCUUCUGUCUCUGGGGCAGGCAUGGUCUGGUUCGCCUCUGGGUCCCACAGCGUAGCCCAGAGCUGGGCAUCCCCUGUCCUCUUGCUCACCUCAUUCAUUCAUCCCACAGAUGUUUGUUUAGCACCGACUCCGUGGUGGGCAUGGAAAAUACAGCAGGGGUCAAAACGGAGAGACCGGGCCCUAGUGGAGCUCAGAGUCUGGUGGGGAGUCAGGGAGCCAGUGCCAAGUGCACAUCUUCGGUCCACGCUCGCGGGGCGUGAGCACUGCCCCCUGCAGAGACAGGACUACUGAGAAUCCUGCGUGAACUCGUGAAUGAGUGAACUUGUGAAGGGGCCUUGGCUCAGUAUCACUCCGCAUUCUCGUUCUCCGUAGCUGGUCUUUAGGUUCGAGAGGCCUGGGUCCGGGACUUGGGGGGCUAUGCUGUCACCUGAGAUGCCGGGGCUGGCGGAAGCCCCCUCAGCCGCCUCCACUGCCCAUUCUGAGCGUUGGGGGCCUCACAGCCCCAGAGGAGAGCGUGUUUCCUGAAACCACCGCAAUCAGGGGAAGAUACGCGGUUCUUAGCUGGGCUGGUCUCCCAGAUGCUUUGUCACCGUGCACGUCUUUCGGGAUCGUGUUCUCGCUGAUCUGGAAGGAUGUGGUUAACGCCUAGGAUCGUUUUUCCUGCCGACUCUUUCUCGGACAAACCCAGUAGACAGCUCCGUGUAGGUGGCUGUGAGACCUGUCCUCUCCUUCCAUCACUGCCCCCUCCCCCUCCCCUGCGGUGGCUUCUGCGGCCCAUUUGAGACAGUGGGUGGGCAGGCCAACCAUGUACGCCUGCGGCCCAUCUUUCCCGGCUCAGCACUUAAUGACACGGUUUUGUUUACUGUUUCUUGCACCACUGCAGGUAACGUCCUGUGUGCCCAGUAUUUAUGGGGCAGGCUUACGAGGAUGCGUCUGGGGGUCAGUCAUGGUCUCACCACCCCCUUUCCCUGCCUCCUCUCCUAUUACAGCUCGCUCUAGCACACAGACCUCCUUGCCUACCACGCCCCUACCCCAGGGCCUUUGCACUUACCAUUUCACAAAAUGUCUGCUACCACCCCCGCCCGGCUGUGCACUGCUGUCACUUCUCAGCAAGGUUCCCUUGACCAUCUUAUUUAAAAUUGCAACCCAGGCCCACCCCACACGCUCUCUGCGCCUACUUAGUUUUAUUUUUCUCCAGGUCAUUUACCAAAGUAGGUUAUUACAUGUAUUCUAGCUACUCCUUUGUUUACUGCCGGCCUCCCUGAGUCAGUGUAAGUAAGCUCUUUUGCCCUUUUUAUCCCCAGCUUCUAGAACAGUAUCUGGCAUGUAGUAGGUAAUCAAUAAAUAUGCAUUGUGUGUGUGACUGAC